GUGCCCUAGCACCCACACGCCGAUCCUCUUCUCCCCCUUAAGCCCUCACGCGCCGUUCCCCCUUGCGAGUUCCCGCAUGCAGCCGACGAUCUUCUCUUCUCCUCGCCCGAGCACCGCACAGCCGGUGACUUCUUCUCCCUUGAGCCAUAGCUGCCGUCUCUCCUCCUCGCACGAGCACAACACAACCAGCCUUUCCUCCCUCACGCGAGCACCAGAGACGUGCCACGGUACCCGAUCGCACGGCGUUGCUCAGGGCAUCGCUCGCCGGAGCCUUCUAAUCCCUCAACCUCUCAUCUACAACUCCGCCAGGUACACCUCUUCUCAGACCUCUGCUCUACACAACCGAUCUUCAGUGAAAGGGUGGGAAAUCCAAGCCCUAGCUUCUUCCCUCGUCGUUCCACUCGUGCGCUACAGCUCUGACCACCACUGCCCGCGUUGUUGUCCGACCGCCGGCCGAGACCUUCUCCCGAUCCAGCGAGAGGCUGCCCCGAUUUGGCCGAUCCUCUUUGUGCCAUUACCGAUCUCCACGGCCAUAGGCUCUAGUUGUGGCUUCGACGGGGAAGAAGGCCAGCUCUCGCCUGAUCCAGAGCCGUGCCCUAGCUUCCAUCGCAGUUGAUCUUCAAUGAUUGCCACACUCCUCUGCCUUGGGACGACACUAUAGCAGUGUUUUGGAUUUCUUCAGAGAGGAAGUUACAGAUCUGGUUAAAGGGUAAGUUUCAGCCAGCACUAUUUACCGACGAUCCACAGUUUAGUCCAUCAUUUCUGGAAGCCACUUUCCUCAGCUGUGAGUCCAUAAAGGAGGCUUCUUAUUAGGUUAUUUCAUCAGGUAACAGGUAAAGGAUUUAUGGAGUCAUCUGGAGAUCCUGUUCGCCAGUCCCAUGUCACACAGAGCUUCUCGUACCGUUAGUGCUUCUAUACGCUUUAUUUUGGUUUUGUACUUAUUCGUGUACUUGUAUCUUUUAUAUGGAGUUUGGCUUUGUAGUAUCUUGUAUUUCUUUUGAUGUGGUGGUUGUCGUGUCAAGCCGAGCCGGCUCGCAGUUGGUUAUAUUAUGGUUUUGUGAUUGUUAUUUGUGAUUUCCGCUAUGUUUUA
This is a long non-coding RNA of Zingiber officinale, 1090 nucleotides long. RefSeq lists it as uncharacterized. The record is from RefSeq and is a predicted model, not a curated record. NCBI's taxonomy places the organism in Eukaryota, Viridiplantae, Streptophyta, Magnoliopsida, Zingiberales, Zingiberaceae. The transcript has 3 exons.